Molecule: ribosomal RNA, 324 nt
Filed under: uncultured eukaryote
Lineage: Eukaryota
Description: partial 18S ribosomal RNA
Rfam family: Eukaryotic small subunit ribosomal RNA
Source: RNAcentral
CCCUUAGAUGUUCUGGGCCGCACGCGCGCUACACUGAUGCAUUCAACGAGCACCCGCUGGGCCGAGAGGUCCGGCUAAUCUUUGAACGUGCAUCGUGCUGGGGAUAGAUGACUGCAAUUAUUCAUCUUCAACGAGGAAUUCCUAGUAAACGCAAGUCAUCAGCUUGCAUUGAUUACGUCCCUGCCCUUUGUACACACCGCCCGUCGCACCUACCGAUUGAAUGGUCCGGUGAAAUUCUCGGACGCGGACUUGCGAUGUUAAUUCGGAGCUUGACUGUGAAAGUUAAUUAAACCUUACCAUUUAGAGGAAGGUGAAGUCGUAACA